Molecule: non-coding RNA, 242 nt
Filed under: Gottschalkia acidurici
Lineage: Bacteria; Bacillati; Bacillota; Tissierellia; Tissierellales; Gottschalkiaceae
Description: Clostridium acidurici T-box sequence
Rfam family: T-box leader
About the family: Uncharged tRNA acts as the effector for transcription antitermination of genes in the T-box leader family.
Source: RNAcentral
UGAAAAAUUUUGAUAGAGACAAAAAUACUAACACUAUCAACUACAGAGAGCUAACAACUGGUGAAAGUUAGCGUUGAUAGUAGUAUAUAAUGAUCACUCUUGAAUUGCUGAAUUGAAAAGGAUACUAUAUUCUUAGUAAAUGAGGUCGGUGCUACCGUUAAAUAGCUAUGGUUCAAAAUGAGGCAAUAAUUUAUUAUUGUGAAUUAGGGUGGUACCACGAAAGUAAAUCUUUCGUCCCUUAU